This is a long non-coding RNA of Eptatretus burgeri (inshore hagfish), 1702 nucleotides long. The record is from Ensembl. Lineage: Eukaryota; Metazoa; Chordata; Myxini; Myxiniformes; Myxinidae.
AUCACAUUUUGAAAUCUAUCUUCACUAAACUUCACCACAUGGUAGAGUUUGUCAUAAGGAUGAAGCCUCUUGUUUUUAAGGUCAACAAAUAAGGUGAGAUUUCUAAAUUCCUCAAUUUUCAUCCGAUUGACUUGAAAUUUGAAGAGGAUUUAUAUUUUCAGCUCACUGAAUUCAACUAGGCAAUUAUUUUUGAGGUCAACAUGGACCAAAAGGUCAAUAGGCCCAAGGUCAACAACUAAGGUGAUAUUUUAAAAAUUGUCAAUUUUCAUCCGAUUGACUUGAAAUUUGAAGAGGAUAUAUAUUUCAGGUCAUUGAAUUCAACUCCCGAUUAUUUUUGAGGUAAAAUUUGUUUUAUGGAUUUUGCAAGCAUCAUGCUCUGCACAACGUCGUCUUGUUAUUCCGUCUCUGUUUGUUUAUUGCCUACAGGUCACAAUUUUAAACCGAUAUCGUCGAGUUUGUCAUAAGGAAGAAGUCUAUUGUUUUUGAGGUCAAAAGGUCAACAUAGGCCAAAGGUCAACAACUUGGCUUGAUGGAUUGCUGGUGCCUCUGCCUCACCUCUUGCUCACCUUGACACUGGAAACCAAGGCCUUCAAGAUCAUUGGAAUCUCCUGUGACGAAGUUGAGUCUUUGGGCUGAUCACUUUCGCAUCGCAUCGCAUCGCAGACAGGUCUGGUCUGUCUGCCUUCUACCACCUUCUUCCUGAUCUUGUAUCUUCUGCUCUUCCCAUGCUUUACCCCCCUCUCCCCCAAACCAGGUAUCUGUAGGGCACCAUGUGGUCCACCAUCAAAUCCCAUUCUGAACUCCCGAAAUCCAGGAUCUCUGCCCCUCCACACUCGUUUGUUCCUCUAUUAAUUUUAUUUUUUCCCCCCACAUGUGGAACAAACUUUCACAUUCUCUUUAAUCUCAUUCUUCCCUCCAGGUCUUGAAAGACAGCUGUUCACCACCAUCUCAGAUCAUCCCUCAUCCAAAACCAUGAUCUUUUCUACCUCUGGAUAACAAUGUCUUCCUGCAUCGGUGUUCUGCCAGGCACUUGGAACUGCAGCCAGAGACAAGUGGAGCAGCACUUGGUUGAGAACCAUUGAUCUCGGGUGCAUAGUAUGGCCUUCUGUGUUUGUCGCUGUCUGGCAGGCAGGGCACUGGACUCGGUAUUGCUGUCUUAACUUUCCCUUGCAAGUGCUUCUCUCCACUCUGGCAUUUCAUGGGCCCCCUGCAAAGUUUUAUCAACACUUGUUGCUGCUCUUUCUGCUGCUCACGCAGGAGGUCAUGCAGGUUUCUUCUGUGAACCGGACACAGAGCCGAGGAGCGGCGUCGAUGUGCAGGCCCACACCAAGCCCACCACUCGGUUGGAUUUUGCAGAAAUGUCAAGGGAUGGACUGCAUGCAGCAGGAUUGUGCCACUUGAAGCAUCAUGCAGAAUGGACAUUGACAAUUUCGUGAAACUAAAGGAGUGAGCUGCAAGUCUCCCUCCAUUGUUUCGAGCAACGUCGGGUGGGCUGGUCCACCCCAAGUCAGGUCUUGCUCCUCAGUCAUUUGCAGAGAAUGAGGUUACUGGAGGAGAGCAAAAAGCUUGGCUCACCCUGUGGUGACAAGAUGCAGUUCGUAGAUGGAAGCAUAAGCAAUGGGCACUGAACCACAUUCCUAAAUCUGCUGUUUGAAGAUCAUUUUUCAUGAGUUUGAAUAUGACUUUUUGACUUCACACCCCC